Molecule: ribosomal RNA, 492 nt
Filed under: uncultured bacterium
Lineage: Bacteria
Description: partial 16S ribosomal RNA
Rfam family: Bacterial small subunit ribosomal RNA
Source: RNAcentral
GAUGAACGCUAGCUACAGGCUUAACACAUGCAAGUCGAGGGGAAACGGCAUUAAGUGCUUGCACUUUUUGGACGUCGACCGGCGCACGGGUGAGUAACGCGUAUCCAACCUUCCCAUGACUAAGGGAUAACCUGCCGAAAGGCAGACUAAUACCUUAGGGUCUUCACUGACGGCAUCAGAUGUGAAGUAAUGGUUUAUCGGUUAUGGAUGGGGAUGCGUCUGAUUAGCUUGUUGGCGGGGUAACGGCCAACCAAGGCAACGAUCAGUAGGGGUGCUGAGAGGAAGGCACCCCAGAUUGGAACCGCGAUACAGACCAAACUCCUACGGGAGGCAGCAGUGAGGAAUACUGGGCGAUGGGCGAGAGCCUGAACCAGCCAAGUAGCGUGCAGGAGGACGGCCCUAUGGGUUGUAAACUGCUUUUGGAGGGGGACAAAGUCAAUCACGUGUGAUUGUUUGCAGGUACCAUACGAAUAAGGACCGGCUAAUUCCGUG